UCCGAGUUGACCCCGGCAGUAUCCCAUGAGUUCCCACCAUUACGUGCUGGCAACAUAGAACGAGGGUUGCGCUCGUUGCGGGACUUAACCCAACAUCUCACGACACGAGCUGACGACAACCAUGCACCACCUGUAUACCGACCUUGCGGGGCGACGAUCUCUCGCCGUUUCCGGUAUAUGUCAAGCCUUGGUAAGGUUCUUCGCGUUGCAUCGAAUUAAUCCGCAUGCUCCGCCGCUUGUGCGGGCCCCCGUCAAUUCCUUUGAGUUUUAGCCUUGCGGCCGUACUCCCCAGGCGGGGAACUUAAUGCGUUAGCUGCGACACGGAGACCGUGGAAUGGUCCCCACAUCUAGUUCCCAACGUUUACGGGGUGGACUAC
This 377-nucleotide unclassified non-coding RNA is filed under the name uncultured Microbacteriaceae bacterium. RNAcentral's name for it is "contains 16S-23S intergenic spacer region". Lineage: Bacteria; Bacillati; Actinomycetota; Actinomycetes; Micrococcales; Microbacteriaceae. The record is from RNAcentral.